CUCAAACACCGGGAACUCUGGGAAAGGAAAUCAGGGUUUCAUUGAUCGCAGGUGGAUAGAUGAGCGGGGCGAUCGCGGAUUGGGCAGUGUGAAGAGAAGGAGGAGUAUAAAGAGGGCCUCAGAAACUGCAGAGAGGGAAGGGAGUUCUUUGUUUUAUUCUAGCCGAUACGGCGAGUGAGUUGGAGUGUUCGGGUGAGUGCAGUGGAAAGAAGGCAGAGGAUAUUGUUGGCUGGGCGAAGACGGAGACAAGGGUUUGGCAGAAACAGAAACCGGGCUGAGUAUAUUGGGAUGUCUACCUAACUGUGAAAUGCUCCAUGGACAUGUGUAACAAAUUCUGAGUGGUUGAAAACAGGAAGACUCACCGGAAGUAUCGCCGAAGGAGGCCUUUUCGACAGGGCACGUGGCAGCAGGAGAAGUAUCCAGGAGCUGGAAAGAAGAGGGAAAAGAGACCUCGUGUUAGUAACGGUGUGAGUACCCUAAACCAUCGUACAGCAGUAUAAUCAUCUAGAGUGAACUAUCUGUGAGCGUUCUUGUGAGUUUGUGGCAUAGUAUGUGAGCGGCCCCACCGUGGAGGAGGAUUGUGGGUGAGCCGGGACCAGUGAGCGAGAGAGGACGUUGGGGUGUCGUGGCGGCGACGUUUAAAUCUGAAUAUUCGUGGCAUCAGUGUCUCCACGAUUUCCAGGACGAGUCUUUGGUCAGACGGGGUUUUGACCCUAAAUUCACCAAGAGUGUGUGGAGUGCAGUGGGUGAGUCUUUGUCCUUUGCUGUGAGUGUAUACACUUGAAAAUUGCAGUGUUGUGCUGUGUUGUGUCGUCAACAACCACCUUUCAGGCCCGACGAAAUCCUGUGAAGGAAGUGAGUACCAAGGCAGGCGAAGAAAACAUCUCCAAUUACAUGCCGUCGAUGACAUCCUGACCCUUCUUCCCCACGUGACGGUGGUGGGAAACAAUUUCAAAAAGAAGAGGGAAGCGUUCGACCCAUCCAGUGUAGUACACCCCGGGUGAAACAACUUACCUGUGUGUGACGCCAGCGGAGGCCGUGUUCGGCCCAACGCAACAGUAGUUUUCGAUCCGCCUCUCUAUCAGCAGUUGGUAGAAGCCUCAGAAAAGGAACGUCUGACGUCUAUUCCCUCGAAGGUCUGUGAGUUACAUCACUUCCUGUUUCCCUGUAUAUUCACCGUAAGCGUAUGCCCAAAGCUAAAGCCAGCAUAUUGUGUUGUACACUCGCCUGUCUGCCCAGAGUGAAGUCCCGGUUACAUUGGAUGUACUUACCUUAUGCCCAAAGCUAAAGCCAGCAUGUUGUGUUGUACACUCGCCUGUAUGCCCAAGUGAAGUCCCAGUUACAUUUGACGUACUUACCCAGCAUAUUGUGUUGUACACUCGCCUGUCUGCCCAGAGUGAAGUCCCAGUUAUAUUGGAUGUACUUACCUUAUGCCCAAAGCUAAAGCCAGCAUAUUGUGUUGUACACUCGCCUGUAUGCUCAAGUGAAGCCCCAGUUGUCUUUCCUACGGACUUACUUGUGCCCCCGAGUGAAGAGCCAGCGGCCCCUCUGUCCACUGUCCGUGUCCAGUCCUGUUACACUUACCUGUAUGCUCUUGUGCAGAUCUAGCGUGUCCCUUUGAAGCGUCUACCUGCAUGUCGACCCGUCACUCAGGAUACAGAAACCGCGGAAACCCCCUCCUGUACACUUACCAGUACGGUUUUAGUUGGAUCCCGGCAGCCCUUGUGCAGUUCCACCAGCAUCUGGACGACCGGGAGUACAACCCGCUGGGCCGCCUCGGAGUUUGCCACGAGUAGCAGCAGGUAUCCAUUGUGCAUCCAAACUCUCAAUACUUACCACUUGUAUCUGUUACGUCCAGGAAAGGAGAGGACUCUGGACAGUCGUCCUGCAAGCCAGAAUAAAGGGGCACUUGUGAAUAAGCUGAUUGUCGUCACAUAGCCAGAAGGAAAGAGGAGUGAAGGACUCACCUGAGAUCUCCC
Cyprinus carpio carpio is the source of this 1979-nucleotide long non-coding RNA. The record is from Ensembl. Lineage: Eukaryota; Metazoa; Chordata; Actinopteri; Cypriniformes; Cyprinidae.